This is a non-coding RNA of Punica granatum (pomegranate), 2405 nucleotides long. The record is from RefSeq and is a predicted model, not a curated record. NCBI's taxonomy places the organism in Eukaryota, Viridiplantae, Streptophyta, Magnoliopsida, Myrtales, Lythraceae.
UGUGGUCUCAGAUUGCAAAUAUCAGAAAUAAAUUAGAGGAUGUGCAAGAUACUGACAGGGCAGUCUUUUGAGGAACUCAUUAAGCAAGAGCUGGAGCCGGUAUCUCUAUUGAUAGAGGUCAGGAAUGCUGAAGAAGCUAUAAUCAGACAGAAAUCAAAAGUGCACAGUGGCUUAAAGAAGGAGAUCAAAAUUCUAGUUUCUUUUAUAAGUCAGUGGAGGCUCGUAAUGCUCGGAACUAUAUUCGAGUUCUAUAUGCUUCUGAUGGCAGGAAAUUGGAGCAAAUCGGGGACAUCGAAGAGGAAGCAGCAAACUUUCAUAAAAGUUUACUGGGAUAGGCAGAGCAGAAUGUGAACAGCUCGCUGGAAGGUAUUUUGUAGCUAAUUAAACUGUCUUUUCCUUCCUCACAGGCUGGUUUGUUGGCUUCUGAUAUUACUUAUGAAAGAAUACAGAUUGCAUUAUUUUCCAUGAAUGGGAAUAAGGCUGCACCUGAUGGUUUCUCAGCUUACUUUUUCAAAUCAUGUCGGAGUUUGGUUGAAAAUUAUUUUAUUGCUGCUGUUAAGUACUUCUUCGAGUCAGGAAGAAUGAGUAGGGAGGCAAAUUCUACAAUCAUUGCUUUGGUUCCCAAGAUGCCUCAGGCUGAUCAGAUGAGAGAAAUUUCAGGCCAAUUUCUUGUCGUAACACUAUUUAUAAAUGUGCUUUGAAAGUUUUGGUUCAUAGAUAGAAACAAGUUCUGCCUGGUAUAUAAGCCCCGACCAAUCAGCUUUUGUGAAGGGUAGGAAGAUAUCAGCUAAUGUGCUGCUCGCUCAUGAACUGGUUAAGAGUUAUCAUAGAGGCUCCAUCUUCCCCUCAAUGCCCUAUAAAGGUGGAUUUGGUGAAAGCAUUUAACGCAUUGCAUUGGGAUUUUAUCUUCCAUUCUAUGCAAGCUAUGGGGAUUCCUAUGAGAUUCAUGGAGUGGAUGCGGGGAUGUGUUACUUCAAAUUAUUUCUCUGUAUCAAUUAAUGGUUCACCAGCGGGAUAUUUCUCUGGGGCUAGGGGAGUGGGGCAGGGAGACCCCUUGUCUCCUUACCUGUUUGUCAUGGCUAUGAAGGUUCUUAUUCAGAUGUUAAACAACUCAGCUGCAGAUGGAGAGAUGGGUUAUCACUCAAGAUGCAAGGCAAUCAAGCUCACACGAUUAUGCUUUGCUGAUUACCUUUUUAUUUAAAUUGAUGGAUGGAUCUAAGGAUCUGUUGAUGCUGUGGUGAGAACUCUUGGAAGAUUUUACUGGUGGUCAGUUUUGAAACUUAUCACUGUAAAAACAGAAGCCUUCUGUGGUGGAAUGUCUGAAGCUGCAAUAGAGGAUCUGCUGCUGUGAAAUCCGGCAAUUUCAACCCGAAUAUAACUAAUUAUAUACGUUAUGUGUAUUUUAUAUGUAUAUAUGUUUAUAUAUUGCUGUUGGUUGACACCGCUGACUUAUAUAGGUAUUGAUAUAUAUCUCCAUUAUAUAUACACACACAUAUGACUAUGAUGCGGGCGUCUUGAAACCGAAAGGAAAAAAAAAAUGCUAAUGGGCUGAUAUGCUAGUGUAGACUUGGAAUUAGUAAGCCCACUAGGCCUCCAAUAUUCCCUUCAGCCCAUAAUUUCCACCGCCUUCCUCACCUCAGCAUUUUCAUUCAAUUUUUGGUCCAGAAGCUUCCCUGUUCGGGGAAAAAAAAAAUGAAAGAAACAGAGGAUGAGACACAGGGAGACAGAGAGAGCAAUAGACGGAGGAAAACGAGAGGCUGCUAUUGACAACCUUCUCGAGCUUCGUCGAGGUCAUCGGAGCUUCUGUUUUUCUAACUCUUGACUUCUAAUUGAUUUCCCAGCUUCUGGCCAUUGCCGAUUUGAUGUUCCUCUUGCUUGUUCUUGUUGGUUUGUCUUCGCUAUGAUGUUGAGGAGCUCGCGAAUGAGAGAGGCAUCAAAUGGGGAAAAGCUUUGCUGCAUCGCAUUAGGUUACAUGAUAGCUUAGCCAUGGGACCGCUGAUCCGGCGAGAUACAAAAAGGGACGCCUAGACCGCUAUCCGGCGAGAUACAAAAAUGGACGCCUAGAUCGCUGAUCCGGCGGGAUAUAAAAUGGACGCCUAAACCGCUGAUCUGGCGGGAUACAAAAAAUGGACGCCUAGACCGCUGAUCCGGCGGGAUACAAAAAAGGGACGCCCAGACCGCUGAUCCGGCGGGAUAGAAAAUGGACGCCUAGACUCCUACUGUCGGAGGAUAAUGAGCACCCCCCGCUUAUGAGAUAUGUUGAUGGUCACAAGCAAAUAAAUUAUUUGAGAUGUACCGUCACAACUCUGUUGCGAGAAAAUAUAACCAUAUGGCUAUAUUGAUUGAUUGUGCUGUAUAUUAUUGGUUUGAUCUGAUUGUUAUAGAUGUGCUGAUUGUUGAUGUUG